AUGAAGUUCAAUGAUAAUGACAAUCCUCACAAUAUGCACCCUAGCCAAUGCCUUUAUGAGUUUGAAAACUACAUUAGAAAACAAGAUCAGUUCAAUGCAAAUAUUAUGAAACAAUUGAAAUAUAAUUCUGAUAUGAUUGCUCGCUUGAGUGACUUGUUAUUUAUAAUCUCAAAUGAUGUUAGAGGUGUUGGAAAACAUGCUUCUAUGGUUCAAACUCAAUUAGAACAAGUUGCUAAAUCUCAAAGAGAGUUGCUUGAUGAAAUGAAUAAUAAUAUACAUGACUUUGGUGUUAGAGUAGCAACUUGA
This 306-nucleotide ribosomal RNA is filed under the name Triticum aestivum (bread wheat). RNAcentral's name for it is "partial small subunit ribosomal RNA". The record is from RNAcentral. Lineage: Eukaryota; Viridiplantae; Streptophyta; Magnoliopsida; Poales; Poaceae.